RNAcentral lists this unclassified non-coding RNA (213 nucleotides) under uncultured Tomentella. Its description in RNAcentral is "sequence contains ITS2". The record is from RNAcentral. Lineage: Eukaryota; Fungi; Basidiomycota; Agaricomycetes; Thelephorales; Thelephoraceae.
ACACCUCAACUCUCAUGGCUUGCCAUGAUGAGCUUGGACUUUGGGGGUCUUGCUGGCCUGCUGUCAGCUCCUCUCAAAUCUAUCAGCUUGCCAGUGUUUGGUGGCAUCACGGGUGUGAUAACUAUCUACGCUUGUGGUGUUUCCACCAGGUGUCCUCCAGCAAUGGGGGCCUCUGGAGCUCAUAAACGUCUCUCCGGGGACAGCUUUUUGAAC